AUUGAACGCUGGCGGAAUGCUUUACACAUGCAAGUCGAACGGCAGCACGGACUUCGGUCUGGUGGCGAGUGGCGAACGGGUGAGUAAUGUAUCGGAACGUGCCCAGUCGGGGGGGAUAACGUAGUGAAAAUUACGCUAAUACCGCAUACGAUCUAUGAAGGAAAGCGGGGGAUCGCAAGACCUCGCGCGAUUGGAGCGGCCGAGAUCAGAUUAGGUAAUUGGUGGGGUAAAGGCCCACCAAGCCAACGAUCUGUAGCUGGUCUGAGAGGGCGACCAGCCACACUGGAACUGAGACACGGUCCAGACUCCUACGGGAGGCAGCAGUGGGGAAUUUUGGACAAUGGGCGAAAGCCUGAUCCAGCCAUUCCGCGUGCAGGAUGAAGGCCCUCGGGUUGUAAACUGCUUUUGUACAGAACGAAAAGGUUUCUACUAAUACUAGGAGCUCAUGACGGUACUGUAAGAAUAAGCACCGGCUAACUACGUGCCAGCCGCCGCCGUAA
RNAcentral lists this ribosomal RNA (500 nucleotides) under uncultured bacterium. RNAcentral's name for it is "partial 16S ribosomal RNA". It matches the Rfam family "Bacterial small subunit ribosomal RNA", at positions 30 to 523 of the family's 1533-position model. The record is from RNAcentral.